This 349-nucleotide long non-coding RNA is filed under the name Ananas comosus (pineapple). RNAcentral's name for it is "long non-coding RNA (ACOM_LNC043692)". Lineage: Eukaryota; Viridiplantae; Streptophyta; Magnoliopsida; Poales; Bromeliaceae. The record is from RNAcentral.
AAAGCAAGCUAUGGGAAAGCAGUGGAACCCCAAACAAUACACCUAAAAUAAAACAAAAAUAUAAAUGCAUCACAUACAAAAACAUAAAGCAAAGUGGGACCAAAAGCUCAGAUAAUAUCAAACCAACCUUCAACACUAAAGCUUAAUUAUACCUCAACAUAGGAACAUCAGGGACCACAUGUACUAAAAUAAUUAUACCUCAACACUAAAGUUUUUCAAAACAACUAAAAAAGGAAUAAAAUAAUGCAAAACCACAAAACCCAAAGGAAUUUCUUCAACCACAGAAACAUCAGGGACCACAUGUACUAAAUUAACAUUUCAACACUACAGCUUAUAAUUAUACCUCAGC